This 140-nucleotide non-coding RNA is filed under the name Trichococcus flocculiformis. The record is from RNAcentral. Lineage: Bacteria; Bacillati; Bacillota; Bacilli; Lactobacillales; Carnobacteriaceae.
UAACUGGUGAAAGUCCAGUCCGAGUAAGCGCCAAGGCGCUCGGUAGCUAUCAGACAACUGGUGAAGAAAUUCUAAGGUUGAAGCUCUGUGAUAAAGUACCAACGAAAGUUGGGCAAGCAAGCCAUCAGGUUGUAACAUAA